Poecilia latipinna (sailfin molly) is the source of this 1040-nucleotide long non-coding RNA. RefSeq lists it as uncharacterized. The transcript has 2 exons. Lineage: Eukaryota; Metazoa; Chordata; Actinopteri; Cyprinodontiformes; Poeciliidae. The record is from RefSeq and is a predicted model, not a curated record.
GUUAAUGUUAAAGUUAAGAGUCAAAGUUAAAGUAAAAGUAAAAGGUCGAUUGGCUAGGUUGCAGCGGGAGAUCGCCGUCCCCGGCUUUUCCCGGACGCGGGGAAGGUAAAGGCGAGGUUUUGUCGGUUUUAUCCUUGGGGAGUGCUGCCCCCUGAAAAGAACGCGUUAGCCAAUCUGUGACUUGCUCAAGAAACACAAAAGUGUUGAGAGGGGUCCACCAUAGGAAAAAAGAUGAGACAAGAGAAUAAAGAAAUAAGAGAAUAAGAUAAAGGUUGAUCGCGAUCUGUUCCUCUAAAGAGUAAUAAGUGAAGAAAAUAACUGAAGUAAAUAAGUGAAAUAAGUGAUAAAAGAGGACAUCAUAGGAGCUGAAAAGCGUGGAUCCAUUUCUGUGUAUCUGAAAGCUGUGUGUGUGUCUGUCAGCUGUGUGUGUGUCUGUCAGCUGUGUGUGUAAGCCUCUGCUGCUGAGCAGACGUUAUCUGUUUAUGUGUGCUCUUCUCUGUUUAUUGCAAUGUGUUUUAAAACCAUGGUCAACAUUGGGAAAUUAUAAUCUGUGGGAGGUUUUUGAUUUUGUUUGCUGGGUUUGAUUUUCUGCUGUGUUUGAUUUCCUCGCCGCCGUGCGAGCAAAACUGCAAAAAAAAAAGAAAAAAAAAGAGAGGAAGAAGAGGUGAUUUUUGAGCCUAAAUUUUAGCCUAAACAGAUGGAGGGUGAACUUGAAAAGGAAAAAUACUAUCCAAAGUGGGGCAUCGGGCCAUGGAUUGCGCUCGGUGAGCAAAUAGAAGCGUUAAUAACUUAUUUGGCAAAGGAUGACGAAUAUCAAAAUAAGGGAGAAAGAAAACAACAAGAAAAGGGGCUAGAAUACCUGGUGCAGAAGAAAGGAGGCGACCUGUUAAACAGCCUUUGGGGAAAUAUUGGCUGGACGGAAUAAAUGACACUGAGGGAAAACUGGUUGAAACUAAACUAAUCCUGCACAAUUCACUAUAUUCACAUGUGGUAAAAUUAACUGUAUGAAGGAUGAAUGAAAUUACAUAACAGGUAAAAUU